RNAcentral lists this ribosomal RNA (371 nucleotides) under Metriomantis sp. MN598. RNAcentral's name for it is "partial 12S ribosomal RNA". Lineage: Eukaryota; Metazoa; Arthropoda; Insecta; Mantodea; Mantidae. The record is from RNAcentral.
AUACCCUAUUAUUUUUAAUGUAAAAUUUUAAAGCUAGAGUAUUAAUAGUUAUGAUCUUUAAACUUAAAGAAUUUGGCGGUAUUAUAGUCUAUUUAGAGGAAUCUGUUAUGUAAUCGAUAGACCACGUUGAACCUUACUUAUAUAAUUUUUUUGUAUAUCGUUGUUUAAGUGAAUAUUUUUAGAUUAAUUUUCUUAAUAUAUAAAUAAUUAGAAUUUCAAAUCAAGGUGCAGUAAUAUAUAAGUUGAGUAAUGGAUUACAAUAAAUUAUAUUUAAAUGAAUAAUUAUUGGAAUAAUAAUUUGAAGGUGGAUUUAAUAGUAAUCUUAUAAAGAUUAAUAAGUUGAUUUAAGCUCUAUAAUAUGUACACAUCGC